CACCCCAGGUAAUGGGCAAAGGGAUACCUUGUUGGUGGUGCUGUUCUUGUAUCAGUCAGGGCAGAGCAGAUGGCGGUCCUUUGUGCAUCCUAACUUGAUGCCUGGUUUGGUGGCCAAAGCUGCUUUAUGCCUAGGACUCAGAA
This 143-nucleotide small nucleolar RNA is filed under the name Mus musculus (house mouse). RNAcentral describes it as "Small nucleolar RNA SNORA48". It matches the Rfam family "Small nucleolar RNA SNORA48". From Rfam's summary of the family: The snoRNA ACA 48 has been identified to guide pseudouridylation of the residue U3797 in the 28S rRNA subunit. Its host gene EIF4A1 (eukaryotic translation initiation factor 4A1) is shared with U67 and snoRNA mgU6-77 Lineage: Eukaryota; Metazoa; Chordata; Mammalia; Rodentia; Muridae. The record is from Rfam by way of RNAcentral.